AUUGAACGCUGGCGGCAUGCUUUACACAUGCAAGUCGAACGGCAGCGCGGGGGCAACCCUGGCGGCGAGUGGCGAACGGGUGAGUAAUGCAUCGGAACGUAUCCUGUAAUGGGGGAUAACGUAGCGAAAGUUACGCUAAUACCGCAUACGCUCGAGAGAGGAAAGUGGGGGAUCGCAAGACCUCACGUUAUAGGAGCGGCCGAUGUCCGAUUAGCUAGUUGGUGGGGUAAAGGCCUACCAAGGCGAUCAUCGGUAGCUGGUCUGAGAGGAUGAUCAGCCACACUGGGACUGAGACACGGCCCAGACUCCUACGGGAGGCAGCAGUGGGGAAUUUUGGACAAUGGGCGAAAGCCUGAUCCAGCCAUGCCGCGUGCGGGAAGAAGGCCUUCGGGUUGUAAACCGCUUUAGUCCGGGAAAAAGGGGUGCGAGGAUAAUACCCUUGUGCUUUGAUGGUACUGGAAGAAUAAGCACCGGCUAACUACGUGCCAGCAGCCGCGGUAAUACGUAGGGUGCGAGCGUUAAUCGGAAUUACUGGGCGUAAAGCGUGCGCAGGCGGUCUUGUAAGACAGUCGUGAAAGCCCCGGGCUUAACCUGGGAACUGCGAUUGUGACUGCAAGGCUAGAGUGUGUCAGAGGGGGGUGGAAUUCCACGUGUAGCAGUGAAAUGCGUAGAGAUGUGGAGGAACACCGAUGGCGAAGGCAGCCCCCUGGGAUAACACUGACGCUCAUGCACGAAAGCGUGGGGAGC
RNAcentral lists this ribosomal RNA (747 nucleotides) under uncultured Azonexus sp. RNAcentral's name for it is "bacterial SSU rRNA". It matches the Rfam family "Bacterial small subunit ribosomal RNA", at positions 28 to 769 of the family's 1533-position model. The record is from RNAcentral. Lineage: Bacteria; Pseudomonadati; Pseudomonadota; Betaproteobacteria; Rhodocyclales; Azonexaceae.